This 93-nucleotide non-coding RNA is filed under the name bovine gut metagenome. RNAcentral describes it as "TPP riboswitch (THI element)". It matches the Rfam family "TPP riboswitch aptamer (THI element)", at positions 6 to 99 of the family's 105-position model. Rfam says of the family: Vitamin B(1) in its active form thiamin pyrophosphate (TPP) is an essential coenzyme that is synthesised by coupling of pyrimidine and thiazole moieties in bacteria. The previously detected thiamin-regulatory element, thi box was extended, resulting in a new, highly conserved RNA secondary structure, the THI element, which is widely distributed in eubacteria and also occurs in some archaea. The record is from RNAcentral.
UUUCACUAGGGGAGCUGCACGUGCAGCUGAGAGGCCUUAGGGCCGACCCUUGGAACCUGUCGGGUUAGGACCUGCGUAGGGAAGUGGCAUACU